Molecule: unclassified non-coding RNA, 330 nt
Filed under: soil metagenome
Description: partial contains 5.8S ribosomal RNA, internal transcribed spacer 2, and large subunit ribosomal RNA
Rfam family: 5.8S ribosomal RNA (bases 1-120)
Source: RNAcentral
GAUGAAGAACGCAGCGAAAUGCGAUACGUAAUGUGAAUUGCAGAAUUCAGUGAAUCAUCGAGUCUUUGAACGCACAUUGCGCCCUCUGGUAUUCCGGGGGGCAUGCCUGUUCGAGCGUCAUUACAACCCUCAAGCUUUGCUUGGUAUUGGACAUUGCCAGUUUCUGGCAGGUCUUAAAAUCAGUGGCGGUGCCAUUUGGCUUCAAGCGUAGUAAUUCUUCUCGCUUUGGAGAUCCAAGUGGUUACUUGCCAAUAACCCCCAAUUUUUUCAGGUUGACCUCGGAUCAGGUAGGGAUACCCGCUGAACUUAAGCAUAUCAAUAAGCGGAGGA